Molecule: long non-coding RNA, 240 nt
Filed under: Musa acuminata (dwarf banana)
Lineage: Eukaryota; Viridiplantae; Streptophyta; Magnoliopsida; Zingiberales; Musaceae
Description: long non-coding RNA (MACU_LNC008426)
Source: RNAcentral
AAGAACGAGAUUUCGUUGGGAGUUCAAGAGUUCGUUGGAAGUCCGGACAUUCAUCAGAAGUUCUAUCGAAAUUGACUAAGAAGUCCAGGAGCUUGCUAGAGAAGCUUAUCAGAACUCACCAAGAAGAUUGUCGUGAAGUUUAGGAGCUUGUUAGGAGUCCGUUGGAACAUUACCGAGAGAUCAUCGGAAGUUCACCGGAAGAUCGUCGGAAGCUCGUUGGAAGAAACCUAGACUUACCAG